CCUACGGGAGGCAGCAGUGGGGAAUAUUGCACAAUGGGCGCAAGCCUGAUGCAGCGACGCCGCGUGAGGGAUGACGGCCUUCGGGUUGUAAACCUCUUUCAGCAGGGACGAAGCGCAAGUGACGGUACCUGCAGAAGAAGCACCGGCCAACUACGUGCCAGCAGCCGCGGUAAUACGUAGGGUGCAAGCGUUGUCCGGAAUUACUGGGCGUAAAGAGCUCGUAGGCGGUUUGUCGCGUCGUCUGUGAAAACCAGCAGCUCAACUGUUGGCUUGCAGGCGAUACGGGCAGACUUGAGUAUUUCAGGGGAGACUGGAAUUCCUGGUGUAGCGGUGAAAUGCGCAGAUAUCAGGAGGAACACCGGUGGCGAAGGCGGGUCUCUGGGAAAUAACUGACGCUGAGGAGCGAAAGCGUGGGUAGCGAACAGGAUUAGAUACCCUGGUAGUCCACGCCGUAAACGGUGGGCGCUAGGUGUGGGUUUCCUUCCACGGGAUCCGUGCCGUAGCUAACGCAUUAAGCGCCCCGCCUGGGGAGUACGGCCGCAAGGCUAAAACUCAAAAUGAAUUGACGG
This 569-nucleotide ribosomal RNA is filed under the name uncultured bacterium. Its description in RNAcentral is "bacterial SSU rRNA". It matches the Rfam family "Bacterial small subunit ribosomal RNA", at positions 338 to 916 of the family's 1533-position model. The record is from RNAcentral.